AAGAACUUUAUCCCACAGGUCAGGAACAAGCCAAGAAUGUCCACUGUCAGCACUUUUAUUCAACAUAGUACCAGAAAUCCUAGCCACAGCAAUUAGACAACAAAAA
Long non-coding RNA from Lynx canadensis (Canada lynx), 106 nucleotides. RefSeq lists it as uncharacterized. NCBI's taxonomy places the organism in Eukaryota, Metazoa, Chordata, Mammalia, Carnivora, Felidae. The record is from RefSeq and is a predicted model, not a curated record. The transcript has 3 exons.